RNAcentral lists this ribosomal RNA (253 nucleotides) under uncultured bacterium. RNAcentral's name for it is "partial 16S ribosomal RNA". It matches the Rfam family "Bacterial small subunit ribosomal RNA", at positions 524 to 776 of the family's 1533-position model. The record is from RNAcentral.
UACAGAGGGUGCGAGCGUUGUCCGGAAUCACUGGGCGUAAAGGGCGCGUAGGUGGCCUGGUAAGUAGGGGGUGAAAUCUUGCGGCUCAACUGCGAGGCUGCCUCCUAAACUGUCAGGCUCGAGCAGAGUAGAGGCAGGUGGAAUUCCCGGUGUAGCGGUGGAAUGCGUAGAGAUCGGGAAGAACAUCGGUGGCGAAGGCGGCCUGCUGGGCUCUUGCUGACACUGAGGCGCGACAGCGUGGGGAGCAAACAGG